UCAAACUUGGUCAUUUAGAGGAAGUAAAAGUCGUAACAAGGUUUCCGUAGGUGAACCUGCGGAAGGAUCAUUACUGAAUAAAAUCUGGUCUGGUUGGGUUGUCGCUGGCCUCCUGGAGGCAUGUGCACACCCUGCCACCACCACGUUCAUCCAUACCUGUGCAUCUCCUUGUAGGAUCAGGAUUUGUAUCACCAUUUCUUCAAACCUCCCUCCCCUUCUUCAGGAGGGGUUGAGGGAAGGAGAGGGGAAGUGUUUUUGGAAUCUUUGCUGUGUUACGCAUGUUGACGGCUUUUCCUGGAUGCAUAUCCCUGGCCCUAUGUCUUUUUUACCAAACCCUGUCAAUACACCUUGUGUGUGUGUGUACUUUUGAACGCAUGUGAAUUAUAUUAUAUCUGUGUGUGUACAACUUUCAACAACGGAUCUCUUGGCUCUCGCAUCGAUGAAGAACGCAGC
This 453-nucleotide unclassified non-coding RNA is filed under the name uncultured fungus. Its description in RNAcentral is "partial contains small subunit ribosomal RNA, internal transcribed spacer 1, and 5.8S ribosomal RNA". The stretch from base 1 to 73 matches the Rfam family "Eukaryotic small subunit ribosomal RNA", at positions 1759 to 1831 of the family's 1831-position model. Lineage: Eukaryota; Fungi. The record is from RNAcentral.